RNAcentral lists this ribosomal RNA (468 nucleotides) under uncultured bacterium. Its description in RNAcentral is "partial 16S ribosomal RNA". It matches the Rfam family "Bacterial small subunit ribosomal RNA", at positions 28 to 507 of the family's 1533-position model. The record is from RNAcentral.
GACGAACGCUGGCGGCGCGCUUAACACAUGCAAGUCGAACGGAAAGGCCCUGCUUUUGUGGGGUGCUCGAGUGGCGAACGGGUGAGUAACACGUGAGUAACCUGCCCUUGACUUUGGGAUAACUUCAGGAAACUGGGGCUAAUACCGGAUAGGAGCUCCUGCUGCAUGGUGGGGGUUGGAAAGUUUCGGCGGUUGGGGAUGGACUCGCGGCUUAUCAGCUUGUUGGUGGGGUAGUGGCUUACCAAGGCUUUGACGGGUAGCCGGCCUGAGAGGGUGACCGGCCACAUUGGGACUGAGAUACGGCCCAGACUCCUACGGGAGGCAGCAGUGGGGAAUAUUGCACAAUGGGCGGAAGCCUGAUGCAGCAACGCCGCGUGCGGGAUGACGGCCUUCGGGUCGUAAACCGCUUUCGCCUGUGACGAAGCGUGAGUGACGGUAAUGGGUAAAGAAGCACCGGCUAACUACGUG